RNAcentral lists this transfer RNA (67 nucleotides) under Marmota monax (woodchuck). Its description in RNAcentral is "tRNA.Undet". Lineage: Eukaryota; Metazoa; Chordata; Mammalia; Rodentia; Sciuridae. The record is from RNAcentral.
GGAAUAUAGCUCAGUGGUAGUGUGCCUGCCUUGCACAAUGAGGCCCUGGGUUUGAUCCCCAGUACCA